UAACGGCCCAGCCCAUGUGUGAUAUUGUCCGCUUUGGGCCACACAGACCCGCACGGUUUUGUUCUUGGGGGAAAUGGGAAACUUCCUAGGAGGUCACCCAUCCUAGGAUUUUCGUUAAGCGAGCACACUUAACCCUGGAGUUCUUCCAACUCUCCAGCCAUUCCACCACCAAAAGGCCUCACACAUGUUUUGAAACCGCCCACCUAUAGGUACAUCACUUCCCUCUCGCACUUAACCGAUGUGGGAUUCGCCUAAGGUGAGUGCACUGUGAGUGCACUGUCACUACAGCCACCGCUCACCCCCCUUUGGGGACUCAGCGUCCUCGCUGAGGUUUGCCCCACCACCGGCCAGAGGAGUGAGGCUUCGGCUCUGAUACCAAUUGUAACGGCCCAGCCCAUGUGUGAUAUUGUCCGCUCUGGGCCCUAC
Molecule: long non-coding RNA, 426 nt
Filed under: Jatropha curcas
Lineage: Eukaryota; Viridiplantae; Streptophyta; Magnoliopsida; Malpighiales; Euphorbiaceae
Description: long non-coding RNA (JCUR_LNC000718)
Source: RNAcentral